RNAcentral lists this ribosomal RNA (501 nucleotides) under uncultured bacterium. RNAcentral's name for it is "partial 16S ribosomal RNA". It matches the Rfam family "Bacterial small subunit ribosomal RNA", at positions 29 to 523 of the family's 1533-position model. The record is from RNAcentral.
AUUGAACGCUGGCGGCAUGCCUUACACAUGCAAGUCGAACGGCAGCACGGGUGCUUGCACCUGGUGGCGAGUGGCGAACGGGUGAGUAAUACAUCGGAACGUACCUUAUCGUGGGGGAUAACGCAGCGAAAGCUGUGCUAAUACCGCAUACGCCCUGAGGGGGAAAGCGGGGGAUCGAAAGACCUCGCGCGAUUAGAGCGGCCGAUGCCUGAUUAGCUUGUUGGUGGGGUAAAAGCCCACCGAGGCGACGAUCGGUAGCUGGUCUGAGAGGACGAUCAGCCACACUGGGACUGGUACACGGCCCAGACUCCUACGGGAGGCAGCAGUGGGGAAUUUUGGACAAUGGGGGCAACCCUGAUCCAGCAAUGCCGCGUGAGUGAAGAAGGCCUUCGGGUUGUAAAGCUCUUUUGUCAGGGAAGAAACACCGGCUCUAACACAGUCCGGGAAUGACGGUACCUGAAGAAUAAGCACCGGCUAACUACGUGCCAGCAGCCGCGGUAA